RNAcentral lists this long non-coding RNA (223 nucleotides) under Monodelphis domestica (gray short-tailed opossum). RNAcentral describes it as "lncRNA (ENSMODG00000039534.1)". Lineage: Eukaryota; Metazoa; Chordata; Mammalia; Didelphimorphia; Didelphidae. The record is from RNAcentral.
ACCUGAUCGGAUGUCAAAGAGGCAACUUGCCAUGAAAUUCGCUAAUGCACCGCGACUCACCGGGUAGGCAGGCAUAAACUAAGUCUACCUAUAUCUACUCCAUUCGUGUAGGUGUUCUGUGUUCUAUUUGAAGACAUCAGAUUUCAGUGCAGCUCCUCCAAAGCUUCCCCUCUGCGUUACCUGCUGGAGACGAUCACAGAAGAGAACAAACGCCCACCCGGGA